This 1398-nucleotide long non-coding RNA is filed under the name Salvia miltiorrhiza (redroot sage). Its description in RNAcentral is "long non-coding RNA (SMIL_LNC000480)". The record is from RNAcentral. Lineage: Eukaryota; Viridiplantae; Streptophyta; Magnoliopsida; Lamiales; Lamiaceae.
AUCUUUCCGUGGAAGUAUUACCACUGAGAUCUUGAAGUAUUACCACUGAGAUCUGCAAAAGGCACAAGAAAGUUUACUCUGCAGGCUUAUGAAGUUGAAAAGGUUGUAUAAAUCAACAAGGAUGUAUAUCAGUAGCAAAAAUUGUCGAAAGAAUGAAUUUGUGUGGAUGUUCAUAGAUCUACAUGCGAAUGAAAAUAAAGAUGUUCAUAGAUCUACAAAAAUCAAAUGCGAAAAACAGACUGCAAACAAGAGCAAAGAUGUUCAUAGAUCUACUGAAUCAGAUGCCAAAAAAUAGUAUUGAAAUCAGAUCUGCGAAAAAUAUUUUUUUUGUUUAUAGAUUUUUCAAAAAAUUAGAUGCCCAAAACAGAUAGACAAAAAUCAGGCAACCGAAGAAAUAUUCUUUGUUGGAAAUAUAUCAAUUAAUUUCUUCAUAAGUUGAAAGACAAAAAGGAAGACAAAAUAUAGAAAAUGAAAGAUAAAGACUUUUGUAAAAUACUGACAAGACACGGGAGCUCCACAUUCUCUAACUUAAGUGCAAAAGGGGUGGGGAACAAAAUCAGGAGAUAAAGAAAAUUAUGCAUACCAGUCGUACUUCCAUAUGUUACAUGCAUACAAGCAAAACAUACAAAUUAUUGGAACGAAGGAUGCACAUAAAAUCGGUCAAAUAACCAGUUAAUUUCAACUUAACUUUACACAACAAGCUUCUUGGGAUACUUCAGAUCUGCGAAAAAUAUUUUUUUUGUUUAUAGAUUUUUCAAAAAAUCAGAUGCCCAAAACAGAUAGACAAAAAUGCAGAUGCCCAAAAUAUCUUACUGUAUUGAACAAGCUGUUGUUUCAAAAUUUGUGGCUAAAUGAAAAAAAAUAAUCAAUUCAGCAAGAAAAAAAAUACAUGGAGAUCGCAAGAAUUAAAGAUGCAGUCGAGGGAGGAGGCCGAGAUCUGGAAGCUAGGGCUGGGCGACGCCGUAGUUUGAAACUCGGACGGCGGCGGCUGGAUAAGGGCUGAGCAGAGGGAGGCAGCGGCUCAUUUAUCGUCGUCGAGGAGAGAGGCGACACCUCGUGGAGCGUCGUCUAGAUGUGAGGCCGGAGUUGGUAGUUUAGGGAUCUAAGGGUUUUCGGACCGCGGCUUUGCGGUUAAACGGUUGCAGGUUUUUCUCCGGCAGAGGGAGAAAGAAGACGAUAGAGAGAACGUUUGAGCUUCUCGCCGGCAGGUGGAAGAAAGUCGGCAGAGGGUGAGGCAGAGGGAGAGAGAAAACAAGGGAGAGCACGGAUGGGAGAAGAAAUGAGAGAGAAGAAGCGGCGCUGAACCCUAAUUUUAGAGGAGAUGAGUAUUUAGGCUGUAUUUUAGGGUUGAAAAGUGUGGAUGGGCUGUAUUUAUGUAAUUGGGCUGAAUUUAUUGUA